This 798-nucleotide long non-coding RNA is filed under the name Heterocephalus glaber (naked mole-rat). RNAcentral's name for it is "lncRNA (ENSHGLG00100033175.1)". Lineage: Eukaryota; Metazoa; Chordata; Mammalia; Rodentia; Bathyergidae. The record is from RNAcentral.
CAAGACGGUAGCGGCAGGCCCUGUGCACCGCCCCUCCCUGUGCCUCUGUGAGCAUGCGCGUGCGCUGGAGCCUCGGGCCGUCACAGCCAUGUGACGCCGGCACAGACUCACCUGCAUGAGGGCAGCGCUGCCCGCUUCCCACGAGGAGGACCUGAGACCGUGGAGGUCCAAGCCCUGGCUGGAGCAGACAACAAGAAAGGCCAAAUGGAAGCAGGAUAUCAGAGCGAGAUGUGGAGGCGAUGCGUGAAGUCUCACACAGGGUGUGAUGGUGCCAGUUCCUGCAGUUAUGAGCACAGAAGACCGAGUACAGACCACCAGCAGCCCGCAAGUUUGGGCCGUGGGACCCCUACUGCAUCCGAGUGAAGUCCACAGCCUCGGGGGCACCAGGGCGGGCUUGGCGCACGGGACGCCCCACAGCCGCCAGCUCAGAGUGUGUGCCCGGGCUGCUCCGGCCCCGUGGCUUCCCUUGAGUCAGACCUGAAGAAAGGGUCCCUGACAGACCCUCCCUCUAGGCCACAAACACCUGGGUAGCACUUCCGCUCAGACCUCCAGGACCCGGAAGCCUUGGCCCACGGUGUAGAAUAUCAGGUCAACUGGAGCAGGUUCUGCUGAGGGUUAGAAUUAAAUGAGAGCACAUCUUGCUGCAGAACAACGGACCGGACGGAGAGCUCUGCCGACCUUUCCCCAGGAGCACAGUGCCCUGCUUGGGAAGUGGGGUGCAGGGCCCCCCCAGCCUGGGACCCAGGCCUGACCCUGCCAUCCAGGCCGUGGCCACAGCCUCCCGGCUCCUGCCCGCAC